UCCGUAGGUGGAUAAUUAAGUCAGAGGUGAAAUCCUGCUGCUCAACUGUAGAAUUGCCUUUGAUACUGGUUAUCUUGAGUCAUUAUGAAGUGGUUAGAAUGUGUAGUGUAGCGGUGAAAUGCAUAGAUAUUACUCAGAAUACCGAUUGCGAAGGCAGAUCACUAAUAAUGUACUGACACUGAGGGACGAAAGCGUGGGGAGCGAACAGGAUUAGAUACCCUGGUAGUCC
This 229-nucleotide ribosomal RNA is filed under the name uncultured bacterium. Its description in RNAcentral is "partial 16S ribosomal RNA". It matches the Rfam family "Bacterial small subunit ribosomal RNA", at positions 568 to 796 of the family's 1533-position model. The record is from RNAcentral.